This 584-nucleotide long non-coding RNA is filed under the name Homo sapiens (human). RNAcentral's name for it is "HSALNT0377762". The record is from RNAcentral. Lineage: Eukaryota; Metazoa; Chordata; Mammalia; Primates; Hominidae.
UGGCACUAUUCCUGUUGAACCUUCAUAGCCUGUAAUCCGGAGUGAAAUCUUGGGUGAAAUCUAAUUCCUUCUGAAAACUCAGAGUUAUUUGUGUGACAGUAUGACUUGCCUUAUCCCAACAGAAACAAGCAUUGGUAAGGGAAGCAGUGAAGAAAUGCAUAUUGAAGGGGGGAAUCUGGAAUAUUUCAAGAUAAGGUCCAAUUCUUCCAUUGUCUCGUAAUCCAAUGCAGAGAUGUGAAAUGUAAGAUCAUCUGAAGGAGAGCUUUGGUUCAAGUCAAAUGCAUGCCUCAACCUAGCAGAGCCAAAGAGAUACUUGUAUGAUGACAUGACUUUUGCCUUCUGCCAUGAUUGUGAGACCUCCCCAGCCACAUGAAACUAAUAUAAGACUUCACAACCUGCUGAAAAUGAGCUUUCCUAAUAACUCGGGACCUACCUGUCUAGGAAUAAACCAUCCUAAACAUGAAAGAUCAGAGAAAAUAGAAACACAAUAUAAUUUGGCUCCGCACCUGAGAUGCUCUCCAGCCAUGAUGGUAGAGUUCCUCAUUCUAGGGAUUAUGGACCCAGGCCAAGCCUGCUCCUUGAUA